RNAcentral lists this ribosomal RNA (252 nucleotides) under uncultured microorganism. Its description in RNAcentral is "partial 16S ribosomal RNA". It matches the Rfam family "Bacterial small subunit ribosomal RNA", at positions 524 to 776 of the family's 1533-position model. The record is from RNAcentral.
UACGUAGGUCCCGAGCGUUGUCCGGAUUUAUUGGGCGUAAAGCGAGCGCAGGUGGUUUAAUAAGUCUGAUGUAAAAGGCAGUGGCUCAACCAUUGUGUGCAUUGGAAACUGUUAGACUUGAGUGCAGUAGAGGAGAGUGGAAUUCCAUGUGUAGCGGUGAAAUGCGUAGAUAUAUGGAGGAACACCAGUGGCGAAGGCGGCUCUCUGGCCUGUAACUGACACUGAGGCUCGAAAGCGUGGGUAGCAAACAGG